Molecule: ribosomal RNA, 793 nt
Filed under: uncultured bacterium
Lineage: Bacteria
Description: bacterial SSU rRNA
Rfam family: Bacterial small subunit ribosomal RNA
Source: RNAcentral
AGAGUUUGAUCCUGGCUCAGAUUGAACGCUGGCGGAAUGCUUUACACAUGCAAGUCGAGCGGCAGCGCGGGGGCAACCCUGGCGGCGAGCGGCGAACGGGUGAGUAAUGUAUCGGAACGUACCCAGUCGUGGGGGAUAACUAUCCGAAAGGAUAGCUAAUACCGCAUACGUCCUGAGGGAGAAAGCGGGGGACCGUAAGGCCUCGCGCGAUUGGAGCGGCCGAUAUCGGAUUAGCUAGUUGGUGGGGUAAAGGCUCACCAAGGCGACGAUCCGUAGCUGGUCUGAGAGGACGACCAGCCACACUGGAACUGAGACACGGUCCAGACUCCUACGGGAGGCAGCAGUGGGGAAUUUUGCGCAAUGGGGGAAACCCUGACGCAGCAACGCCGCGUGAGUGAUGAAGGCCCUUGGGUCGUAAAGCUCUUUCAGCAGGAACGAAACGGUGGCCCCUAAUACGGGCUACUAAUGACGGUACCUGAAGAAGAAGCACCGGCUAACUACGUGCCAGCAGCCGCGGUAAUACGUAGGGUGCGAGCGUUAAUCGGAAUUACUGGGCGUAAAGCGUGCGCAGGCGGUUAUGUAAGACAGGUGUGAAACCCCCGGGCUUAACCUGGGAACUGCGCUUGUGACUGCAUAACUUGAGUGUGGCAGAGGGGGGUGGAAUUCCACGUGUAGCAGUGAAAUGCGUAGAGAUGUGGAGGAACACCGAUGGCGAAGGCAGCCCCCUGGGUCAACACUGACGCUCAUGCACGAAAGCGUGGGGAGCAAACAGGAUUAGAUACCCUGGUAGUCC